GAUGAACGCUGGCGGCGUGCCUAAUACAUGCAAGUCGAGCGAACAGAUGAGGAGCUUGCUCCUCUGACGUUAGCGGCGGACGGGUGAGUAACACGUGGAUAACCUACCUAUAAGACUGGGAUAACUUCGGGAAACCGGAGCUAAUACCGGAUAAUAUAUUGAACCGCAUGGUUCAAUAGUGAAACACGGUUUUGCUGUCACUUAUAGAUGGAUCCGCGCCGCAUUAGCUAGUUGGUAAGGUAACGGCUUACCAAGGCAACGAUGCGUAGCCGACCUGAGAGGGUGAUCGGCCACACUGGAACUGAGACACGGUCCAGACUCCUACGGGAGGCAGCAGUAGGGAAUAUUCCGCAAUGGGCGAAAGCCUGACGGAGCAACGCCGCGUGAGUGAUGAAGGUCUUCGGAUCGUAAAACUCUGUUAUUAGGGAAGAACAAAUGUGUAAGUAACUAUGCACGUCUUGACGGUACCUAAUCAGAAAGCAACGGCUAACUACGUG
RNAcentral lists this ribosomal RNA (497 nucleotides) under uncultured bacterium. Its description in RNAcentral is "partial 16S ribosomal RNA". It matches the Rfam family "Bacterial small subunit ribosomal RNA", at positions 28 to 507 of the family's 1533-position model. The record is from RNAcentral.